Long non-coding RNA from Culex pipiens pallens (northern house mosquito), 3288 nucleotides. RefSeq lists it as uncharacterized. NCBI's taxonomy places the organism in Eukaryota, Metazoa, Arthropoda, Insecta, Diptera, Culicidae. The record is from RefSeq and is a predicted model, not a curated record. The transcript is spliced from 4 exons.
UACAAAAAUACAAAUAUACAAAAAUAAAAAACACAAAAAAAAUACAAAAAAUAAAAAAAAAACACAAAAAUGCUGUCAAUGAGUUUUGGGCUGUCAAAAUCAGUCUGAGUUUGUUAUUGUUAUUGUCAUCAAAUUCGGGUUGUCAAAAUUUCAUAUCAAACUCCCUUCCGUGUGUCAACGGGAAAUGUCAAACGCCUGCUUGAAAACAACACUUUUCUUCACACCAAAACAAUCCGUUUGACCUAAUGACAAACUUGGAGAUUUCGGCAAAUGCUUGUUUGAGUGUGUGCGCGUUCGCACACACACUUCCGAGGGGGCAAUGAAUGCUAAUUAACAUAAUUAUCACGAAUUUUGCUGCGAUGUGGCAAAUUUACACACACACACACACAUUCGCACGCAAAAUCGCGCGCAACAAGAGAGCAACAUUUUUGACAGUUGUGUCCGGUACCGGUUUUUGGCGAGAAGAUAGCCGCGCCGCGGGGACGUUCGUCUGGUACUUUGACCCGUUUUUUAAAAGGAAUAAUUAAAAAAUUAUAAAUAAUAAUUUUUCCCGACGCAGCGUGACGAGGGGUCGUCGGAAGCGGGAGCCUCACCAACACACACGACGCGUUGCCGAAAAGGUGGAAGUUUUCGGGAGGUGACUUCCAUUUUUUUUUUCGCGUCAUCUUUUUGGACGGGGAAAAGUGUCGUGCCAGGGGUGACACGGCGAGGGGUGCCACGAUAUGUGGAAAAAUCCCUCACACACGAUUUCUGCCACGACGACGCGCAAAUGCGGAUGAAGUCAUACAAGUUUCCUCUUCCCUCCACCGAACGCCUACUGCGAUCUGCGGGAGAGAGUGUGUGCGGACAUGUGGCGACGCACGCACACAUACACGUUGGUAGAUUGGUGGGCCCCUCCAACAAGUUCGAGCGUAGCAGGCGCGCGCAGGCGCGACUUCGUGUAUCCGUACAGGGCCCCGUAUACGUACACGAAGCCGUGUCGCGACACGCACCAACACACACGUGCCCGAACGCGCCUUCACUUCUCGUACGAGCAAGUGCUUCGGGCUCGUGCUGUCCCGCUUCGGCGCUCGGCUCGCUCACCCGCUCUCGCGCCCUCGGCUUCUGUCGCUGUGUGCGUGCGCGAGUUGGUGGCGGCGGAGGCCGCCGUAAUCUACGACAGCGUUUUAACUGAAAUUUUCCUUUUCAUUCGUUCGCAGACAGCCGCACCGCGUGGACGGGCCGUGGAGCGCCCGACAACAACCCCCCGACCGAGAGAGCGAGAGGGAGUCGCACCGUCGGUCCUGCUCUCCGUAGGGUCCGCCGUGGAGCCUUUCGUGCAGUCAACAUCGUUUUUGCUCCGCCAGUCGCUCGGUGGAGCGCAGCAAGUGUAGACCGCAACCAACCAAACAAGAAACCACCCCGUCAAUGACUUUGACGGGCGCUAGACUGGCCGUGUGUGCGCGCGAACCCCGCGGAUCCUAGUGCAACCCCCCCGCGAACUAUUGUGUGGAAAAACAUCGCAGUGAACUCGGGUGGAAAAGUCGGGAAAAUCGGCGCCUACUACCGAAACUCCGGAUGGUUUCCAACGGACUUUAAAAAAGGCGCCGCAGUGUGACACCGUUUGUGAUGCAAGUGUGCCGCGCCCUCUGGGAUUAGACUCCAGUACACGCAACCAACCCCCCAAGAAAAAGGCGCCUACGUGACAGUUCCCGAUUCCCAAAGAGUGUGCCGACUUCCCAAGAUGAACGCAAUUUUCGUCCCGCUGCCAACACGACCACGAAGAACGCAAUCUUCAGCUCGAUUCCGCUUCAAGAUGCGAAGCACGUGUUGGCGGAGUCGGAGUGCAGCUGACGCGCGAGCAGUUUGACACCUGGCGGGUAACAAGACACGCCGAACCGGUACGGAACCGGUUCGGCGUUAGAGGCGCGCACUUGCAACCGGAGUAAUUGACUUUCCUUCUGGUCCUGCCCUGGCGAGCACAAAUUAAGUCAUAAAGGGUCAUAAAAGCGAAAUUUAUUAUCCGAGCCACGGACUUCUCGAGUGAAGGGGAAAAAACGGCCCGAAAUCGAUUCCUCGGAGGCCAUAAAUAACCGUUUGGCGCCCUGUUUCUCGCUCUCCGAACGUUCUAUCGCUUCGGGGUUGGAGGGCUCGUCGAAACGAAAAACGAACGCAAAAAUUUAUGGCUUUAACUUCUAUAAAUUUGAUACCCCCUCACGGGUUACAACGCGGACCCGUGAUGUGGUCAGCCCGGCAAAGGGUGACGAGGAACCGUUUUUGUUGCGCGUAAAUUUGGCCAAACCUGCACUUGAACGUUGUCGGUGGAAAGGGACGCGCCCUCCCGUUAUCGAAUUAGCAAAAUGGCGGGCGCAACGAGGAGGGCGUUUGCUGAGGGGGCGCUCAUCGGGCUCCGGAUGCUGGACCCAGGUAAUAACUUCCGAUCGGUUUGGAGCGGUUGACGAUGAUGGUGAUUUGAUGGAGUCUGACCAGAGUGCCAUUGGGUCACCGAUGUGGGGAGGCGCAUCGUAACCACAAAGCGGGUUUUGAGCAGUCGCAUACAAUGUUUGUUGUUUGUGCGAGUUUGAUUAUGAUUUGGAAAAUAAUUGAGUUUAGGGGAUGCAAUUUAUUUGCUAAACAAAUUAUCCCACAAUGUUGCGGUGUAACAGUGCGGUGUAACUGUGGUUUGGGUUCUGGAUUCGAUUGAAGUCGGCAAGUGAGGUUAGAGUUGAAGCUGUACUGUGUAAAGCGUGGAGUUGGAUUCGACCAGUUGUUUGCCGAAUCAGACUCCGACAGAUUUUCGACUCCUAAAAGAUACUCAAUUGUCUUUGAUUCCAACAACAAAACGAGUGAUUCUGACUAAGACAUCCGGAUUUGACUUCAGCUCCUCAGUAAGUCAGACCGCAUCGAAUUUGACUCUAAAUUCAACAACAACUUCUACGAAAUAUUGUUCAGCUCUUGAAACACCCAACUACAUUAACUCCAAAUUUGUCUCCGACAACAGCUUCUACCAAUUAUUGUUAAAAAGUAUUCGACUAAGAAUCCAUCUACUCAUAGUUUGUCAGAUCUGACUCCACAUUGGACUCCAAUUCUGACUCUGAUCUGUCUCUGACUUCAGCUCUGCGAAAAGACCAGACUUCACUGACUCUGAUUCUUACUUUGGCUCCAACUACAGCUUCAAAACAAAGUUGUUGAAAAUCAAAUGACUCCGACUGUUGACUGUGACUUCAGCUCUAAAGAUAGACCGGAUUCACCAAUUUCAACUUUAGUUUUAACAACAACUUAUACUCUACGGUCUUUUUGAAGAGCUGG